UUCUUGUGGUGCUGUUUAUGUGCCUUCUCUUUCUACAACAAGGGAUAUGCCUUAUUUAUCUGGCAGUGUUUUUUCCCUGUAAAAUGUGCAAGAUCUGUGUCUCUAAAAUUAUUUAUUUAUUCCAUCUCUUUUUCUCCCUCUAAACAACUUAAUAGAUAUUCUUGGAGCGCCCAUUGGGUUUGUGUAUGAGGAGCUAAGAAACUCAGACAGGAUCCUGCUCCUUGGGAAAACACAGCAUUCUGGAAAGAUGAAAGCUGAGUUGCAGAGAAGCCUGGGAGCAAUGCUAGACAACUGAGCCACAUGUCCCAGCAGGAAAACUCCAGGAAAUAGAGAAGAGGUUAAAUAGGAAAUGUGGCCCUGAGAGAACAGAGUUUUAUUGAUUACUAGGUGAGCCAGAGCAACCACUAUUGAGAUUGACUUCCACCAUCAAGAACUUGGCUUGGUUCCUGUUACCUUGAAACAGCUCAGGGGCCUGCGUGAAGUGGACAUUGCUGUCUGUCUACCACAGAUCAGGAGUGCUCACUAUGGAACUGGGAUCUAGUACAUGGCAGGCAAGGACUCUUCACAUUGAGAUAACGGCAGGAGAAGUUUGCAGACAUCUGUGAGGUCCCAGCCAGACCCUGCUCGCACACUGAUGGGUGUGACUGUGGAGAUGAUGGCGCAGGAAGGAAGAGGCACAAAGAGCAUGCCUGGGUAUCCCCGUGCCCUGCCCACCACUUGCAUGUCCCCAGUCUCCACAUAGUGUUCCUGUCGUCUCCUGGCCCGGAAGCAGUGACUGCCCUGUGUCCAGUGUCUGGCUGCUGAGUCCUUGGGAACGUGCCUAAGUGUCCCAGUUCCUGUGUAUGAUCCCACAGAGCCUGCCUCCUGCACAGUCCUGAAUGGCAUCAUUGUAACAGUCUGCUCCAUGUUUAAGAUUCUAAGUGACCCACAUUACUAAAGAAUGUCUUUCAAGAGAGGAAAACUAAAUGGCCAGUAAGAAAGGAUCUUCACAAAGACGUGCCGAGGCAUUGAGGUCCAAUUCUUCAAGGUCUUCAGAGGCUGCCAAACUCAGGCUCCCACCCUCUCCUUCCAUGGGAGUCUGUCUAGGCUGAAAUCUAAGUCCAAAUGAAUGAAUCUGCUUGGGGGGUGGGAGCAAGCCACAGCUGUGACUCUAGCUCACUGGGGGUUUCUGUUUUAUAGGCGGUCAGGAUCGAGUCUCUGAAAUUAUCAACUUGGGACUAGGAAAACAAUUGAUACUAUCUGAUUUGUAGAAUAGCCCUGGGUAGGGAAAUACUAAUUUUAAAUAUCAUUCAUCUUUCCUUUUAUCCAGUCUCUGCGCUGUAAUGGAAUUAGGUGAAAGGACUGAGUCCAAGCUGUAGUGAGCUCAGGGGAGCUUGCACACCGAACUGACAAAUUAAUCUGUGGACAGCCCUCAUCCAGUACUUAUUUAGUCAAUAGUCAGUGAAUGAGAAAAGGGGAAAGCACAUUUUUCCUUUUUCUUUCUCUAUUCCUUCCUUCCUUCUUCCUUCCUUCCUUCCUUCCUUCCUUCCUUCCUUCCUUCCUUCCUUCCUUCCUUCUUUCCUUCCUUCCUCCCUCCCUCCCUCCCUCCCUCCCUCUUUCUCUCUCUCUCUCUCUCUCUCUCUCUCUCUCUCUCUUUCUUUCUUUCUUUCUUUCUUUCUUUCUUUCUUUCUUUCUUUCUUAUUUACUCAUUAGAAUUUUUUCCAAUCAGCAUACUGUGAACCUUCUGUAUCUUUUCCAAAACCAUCAAUUUUCAGCUUAAUUGUUUUUCCCCCCUUCUGACUAAAAUGUGAACUCUUGAAGUAAACGUAUUUACAUGUUAAACUUCCCAGACUGAGUUAAGAGAAUUAGAAAAGGACUCAGGAGAUAGGAAAUAUGUUCAGCUCUGUGGAAGAGCUCAUUAUGGAACGUUUCCCAAACAGCUCUGCAAUGAAUGCAUUGUGAGACCACCUAUAAUCGAUAGACACAUGUGUAAACUGUUAAAGGAAAUACUUAGCAAGGUUUCAGAAUUUGAGGCUGAUGGGGGGAACUUCUGCUAUUUGAAUUUAUAAGGAGCACCAGGUUGCAGGGCACAUCACACUAGCACUCCUGUGAUCCUAGCACAUGUUAUUAUAUAAGUCUGUUUGUGUUAGUGGGGGUACAUAUGUGUGCAUGUGUGCACAUGCAGAGGGCAAAUGUGAACCUGUGUGUAAUUCCUUAGGGUACUGCCUACCUCGGUUUUUUUUUUAGGCACAGGCUCUCAUUGGCUCAGGCCUCCCUUAUUUGGUUAUGUUUGCUAGCCAGUGAGCCCGAGGGACCCACCUGUCUCCCCAGCUCUGGGAUUCCUUCUACCUGCCAACAGGUUGGGGAUUUUUUUGUGUGAGUUGUGAAGAUCCAACUCAGGGCUUCGUGCUUGCUAACAUAGCAAGCAUUUAUUAGCCAUGUUAUCAUCUCUGCUUCCUGGGGUGUGUCCAUUCAUUAACUUAUUCAAUAAGCAUUGUGACUGAAUGGUGCAAUGUUCUACUGAGAAGAACUUAGAACCAAUUUUCUGUGCUCGAAUCCUGACUCUAUCAGGUAUCAUCUGCUUGAACUUGGCCAAAUCACUUGACUUCUCUGAACCCCAGUUUCUUUUUUGUAGAAGGGGUAAUAAAUAAAUAAGGGGUAGGACAAUGUGGAGUUUUCAAUGACAUAAUUAAUUAAUACAUAUGUUGCUUCCCUAGUGCCCAGGACACAGAGUGUCCUCAAAAGGACAUGAUUACGCUGUUUUCUCUUUGUCAGAGCACUGUCUACAUAUACACUCUGUGCCAAGCACUGGAAAUGGCAAUGGCCACACCACCUCCUUCAAGGCAUUCUCCUGUGAGGGAGAGACAUUUAAGCCACUGAGGAUGAGAGCAUCACACAUGUUGAGAACACAGCCACUUCUUCACAUACUUUCGAGAAUAAAAUCUGUUGAGUGACUGAGCAAAUGAUUGCCAAGAGAGAAGCAUGGGGUCAUAGGCAGACCUGUUCGAUGCAAGAACAGAGGUGCGGGUGAACCCAUUUACAGGACUCUGGUGGGAGGGGUCUGUCCCGCCAGACAGUUAAACUGAAGAAGACAUGCUUGUCUCCGGUCCAACCUGUGCCAGACGUUUGGAGAUGGAAACGCUCUAUAGCAAGUGGCCCUGGUUAGAGAGAUGAACUGCUGUAGGUCAAGAGAGCAAAAAACAAAGGAAACAGCAAAUUCCAGGAGGUGAAGGACGCGCUGCUCUAAAAGACUUAAGAGAAACUGGCUGGAAAGAGACUCCCAGAGAGGAAGUGAUCGGGAGGCAACUUUGAACCAAGAAACACUAAUCACAGCCCCUCACCCACACUCUUCUCCAGACUCAUCCGCAGAGCACGUUGCCUGCCUCCUGUCCUUAGAACUGCAUCUUGGCAUGACUUGUGUUUAGAAAGAUGAGGACACUGUGGAUUUUAAUUCUAAUGAGGGACAUAGGCGCUUGACAUAGUGACAUUUGUUUAAUACCUUGUGCUCCAUGUUAAAAAGGUCCUCCAUCUAUUUUUCUGGCCUAGAACAUAAAUGGAGGCCUAGGAGGCAAAGGAGGACACUCCGGUGCUCAGCCCCCCCCCCCCCCCCCCCACACACACACAGAGCCAGCCACUCACCAGAGCUCUUGGGUGUUGCUGAGACAAUUCAGUCAUUUUUGCCAAAAGUUUAUAAUGAAAGAGAGUAAAGGCCCCUCACCCCUCAUGGCAGCUGCCUUCCUGCUCUCUCUCUCGGCUUCACUUUUCCAUUUCCCAGCUGGUAAAAGCCUGAGAGAGAAAGUGCAGACUGACAGUGUCACCCAUCUCAUGUUUUGCCAGCAAGGACAUCAUAAACAAAAUCAAAUAGCUACUCUAUCUUACAGAGCAUUAUAAUUGCACAAGGAAAAGGAUAUUUGACAUGGAAGGCAGGAUGGAAAAUUAAUUUCUCAAAUAAGACAAUAUUCAUGACUGUAUUUAAGUUUACAGAAAACUCCUUCUGUCAUUUUUUCCCCCUCAUUUUGCCAUGAACGAAUAAAAUUUGGCAAGGGUCAGCAGUAGUUCCCCCAAACACUUUUUAUGCCUGACUCCUGGACUCAACACUUAGAUGCUGGAAGAAUCUGAUAUUUCUUCUGCCCCUCUAUCAACAGUGGCCAUUCAUAGCCAACAGCAACUAUUCACAGCCAAAUGACUCAUCGUGGCUGCAGACAAACAAGUCAAUCUCGUUCCUGUUCUUGCUUUCUGAAAAACAUUUCUGGCUUCAUGUAGUGCUCAGCCUGGGAUGCACUCAGCUGGUGGUUCCCCAGUUAUCCAGGACAAAACCACCAUUCCCAGGUCCCCGGCUCUGGCAGAACUAAGUCAAUGCUGGACCACAGACUUUUGCGUGUGCUUCAAACAUUAAAUCCUAAAGUACAGUAGGGAGAGAUCCAUAGUGCCCCUGGCCCUUCCUUUGUGGAUCAAGGCUGAGAUGGUCUUUAUGCCAUCUGGAGGUGGUAUUGGAGCAUGACAACCAUGUCAGGUGACCUGCCAUUUCCUUAAGCACCAACAGCAGUGUGGUAUGAAACAUCUUGCCCACAUGUAAUCCCAGUUUUCCUGUAAGUAUGUGUGUAUCUGUAUUUGUGCAGGUUCUCUCAUGUGUGCAAGAAUGUGUAGAGGCCAGCAUUAACAUUGAGCUGCCUCUGUCCAUUGCUUUGCUGACUGAUUUUUUUUUUUUUUUAGACACUCUUUCACUGAACCUGGAAGCUCACUAUGUCUGUUGAAUUAGCUGGUCAUGGGGCCCCCAGGGUCCUUGCCCCAUGCCGGGUUACAGCUGUGUAUUGCUACCAGCAGCCUUUCAUAUGGAUGCUGCAGACCCAAGCUCAGAUUCCUAUGCGUAUGUAGCAAGUACUGCAGCCACGGAGCCAUCUCCUCACUGUCUUAGAAUGGUCACAAUCUUCUGUGAUUCACCCAACUGCAUACUAAACUUCCUAGUUUUAUGGUUUGUAUUGGGACAAGUCCUCUGCCUUUUGACAACACUACUGUAAGCAACUUGGUCUAUGGAGAUCUAGAUUCCUAAUGUUUGCAUAGGGCUGAAAGUGUGUUUGGUCCACAUAUGUGGCUGUUGUUUGCUUUUGGUUUAUAGGGUUAUGGGUGCACAGGUACAGUUUAAGGCAGUGGUGUCUGGAGAGGCCUAUGUUUGCAGGAAGCAAUUAGAGUGUGAAUAGAGCUCUCAUCUGUGGUUCUAUUUCUGUGCUCUUCAGUGUCUAUGAUUCAAUUAAUUGUACCUUUGUUUGACUUGAAGAAUCUAUUGAGGAAUAUACUUGAAAUGAAAGAGUAAGUGGCUCCAUUGAAAUGCAUCCACUUCUCAAGCUUUGAUGCUCUGAUGCAGGUAUAGUGUGAAGGCCUCGAGGUACUUGACAUCAACAAGUGUCCGCUAGUGUCUCAGA
This is a long non-coding RNA of Mus musculus (house mouse), 5399 nucleotides long. RefSeq annotates it as predicted gene, 34883. The record is from RefSeq and is a predicted model, not a curated record. The transcript is spliced from 5 exons. NCBI's taxonomy places the organism in Eukaryota, Metazoa, Chordata, Mammalia, Rodentia, Muridae.